CUCUUGAAACACGGACCGAGGAGUCUAAUGCUCAUGCAAGGAGAAGGGUUUCAUCCCUGUAUCCGCAAUGAAAGUGAUUUCUAGCAGGAGCCUUUUAGGUGCACUGCAGCCGUCUCUCUUGAGAAAGGCAAAGUAUGAGUGUUAGGACCCGAAAGAUGGUGAACUAUGCAUGUGUAAGCUGAAGCCAGGGGAAACUCUGGUGGAAGGCUGUUGAGAUUCUGACGUGCAAAUCGAUCCUCUAACAUGUGUAUAGGGGCGAAAGACUAAUCGAACCAUCUAGUAGCUGGUUCCYCCUGAAGUUUCUCUCAGGAUAGCUGGCACUAAAUUCUAAUUUCAUCUGGUAAAGCAAAUGAUAAGAGGUCUUGGGGUUCAAAGAACCUUAACCUAUUCUCAAACUUUAAAUGGGUGAGAAGCAUGAUAGGCUACAAUUGCUUUCAUGUCUCCCCUUGAAUAGAAGUGUGCCAUGUGGGUCACUUUUGGUAAGCAGAACUGACGCUGUGGGAUGAACCACACGCUGUGCUAAGGCGUGUGAUAACUUGCUCAUAAGAUCCCACAAAAGGUGUUAGUUGCUAUAGACAGCAGGACGGUGGCCAUGGAAGUUGGAAUCCGCUAAGGAGUGUGUGAUAACUCACCUGCCGUGGCAACUAGCCCUGAAAAUUCAUCACGCUAUAGCAAGUAGCCUAUGCACGGCCUCCAUGUAAAAUGCAUGCAUGGAGAGUAAGGGGGCGCAACAGUAGCGUUGAAGCAAUGCAGUGAUGUGUUGUUGAGCUGYUGUUGUUGCAGAUMUCGGUAGUAGUA
RNAcentral lists this ribosomal RNA (798 nucleotides) under Gnathostomula paradoxa. Its description in RNAcentral is "eukaryotic LSU rRNA". It matches the Rfam family "Eukaryotic large subunit ribosomal RNA", at positions 651 to 1462 of the family's 3401-position model. Lineage: Eukaryota; Metazoa; Gnathostomulida; Bursovaginoidea; Gnathostomulidae. The record is from RNAcentral.